Molecule: ribosomal RNA, 253 nt
Filed under: uncultured bacterium
Lineage: Bacteria
Description: partial 16S ribosomal RNA
Rfam family: Bacterial small subunit ribosomal RNA
Source: RNAcentral
UACGGGGGGGGCAAGCGUUGUUCGGAAUUACUGGGCGUAAAGAGCUCGUAGGCGGCUGUUCAAGUCGAACGUGAAAACUCGGAGCUCAACUCCGAGCCUGCGUUCGAGACUGGAUGGCUAGAGUCUGGUAGGGGGAUCUGGAAUUCCUGGUGUAGCGGUGGAAUGCGCAGAUAUCAGGAGGAACACCGGUGGCGAAGGCGGGAUCCUGGGCCAGUACUGACGCUGAGGAGCGAAAGCGUGGGGAGCAAACAGG